AUGAAGCCGCGGACCCUCGCUAUGCUGUUUAUCAAAAUCAAGAACACAGAGGUAGAGACAAGAACUGCUGACACUCAUUCCCAGCAGGUGAAUAGCCACCAGCACAGCCACCAGCUGACCAACAGCGACCUCUGGACUGAAGUUGUUUUGAAGAUAACAAUGGAAUAUGAAUUGCAAGAAAAAAACUCCAUUGUAACCUUUUCUAAAGACAACUUCAUUUUCAAUUUGAUUUCAGCAUGA
This 240-nucleotide long non-coding RNA is filed under the name Papio anubis (olive baboon). Its description in RNAcentral is "lncRNA (ENSPANG00000038465.1)". Lineage: Eukaryota; Metazoa; Chordata; Mammalia; Primates; Cercopithecidae. The record is from RNAcentral.